AAGGUUGUAGUCUGAGUAGAUGUUGAAUUUAAUCACUUUUUGGAAUGACACUAUGAAUGUUCAAGUGCCCCUCUAGUAGUCCCUUGGGCUUAGCUCGUGGGUCCCAGAUGACUCGAGAGUGAUUGACACAUUGAAAAAAUAACAUUUUCUGUGUUUUUUGACAGCUGGGUUUAGGCCGUUUUGUUUCGUUUUGAUUAGGGGCAGUUUGGUAGCGCAAUUAACAAUCCCUCCUGCCUGCACUGGAUGCGGGGAACUAAUUAAAACAGCUUGCCAGAAACAGAGUCAGGGAUCGCAUAUAGCGACUUGGGUAUGUUUGAAGAGUCAAAAUCGAUCCUGGAGCUGGGUGAGUCGAGAGAAACCAUGGGACCAUAGCACUCACCCACUUGCGAUGAGGCCAUCCACUGCUUUCCACUCCGAUUAUGCCUGCCCAUACCAUAACUUCUCCAUGGGGCAUUCUGUUCACAACAUUGACAUCAGCAAACCGCUCGCCCACAUGACGCCAUACACACUGUCUGCCAUCUGCUCAGUACGCUUGAAACCAGGAUUCAUCUGUGAAGAGCACCCUUCUCCAGCAUGCCAGUGGCCAUCGAAGGGGAUGCUGAACUGCAGUCAGGUCAAGACCCUGCUCUGGUGGACAUUCCUGCAGUCACCAUGCCAAUUGCACACUCCCUCAAAACUUGAGACAUCAGUGGCAUUGUGUUGUGUGACAAAACUGCCCAUUUUAGUGUCCUUUUAUUGUCAGUACAAGGUGCACCUGUGUAAUGAUCAUGCUGUAUAAUCAGCGUCUUGAUAUGCCACACCUGUAAGGUGGAUGGAUCUCGGCAAAGGAGAUAUGUUCACCAACAGGGAUGUAAACAAAUUUGUACACAGAACCUGAGAGAAAUCAGAUUUUUGUGCAUACUGUAUAGAACAUUUCUGGGAUCUUUUAUUUCAGCUCAUGAAACAUGUGACCAACACUUUACAUGGUGCAUUUAUAUUAUAUUUUUUUAUAUAUUAUAUUUUUGUUCAGUAUAUUUCAUAUGUAAACUUAUGUACAUAAUUCAUUUGUAUUGAGUAGCCUAAGCAUUAGCCGCAUAAAUGUUUGCAGCCGUAGGUGGUAAUAUCUCUCUUGGAGCUGAUUCGUCGUCAGUAUUGUGAAAUAAUUCUCAUGUCAAGGUAAUAUUUGAAUGGAGGAAGCUGAUCUGAGAGCAGUGCUAUCUUUGGAUCCUAUCUGUAUCGACACAUGCUCCAACCAUGGACUUAGCAACCAUUCUCUCAGCGAAGUGUUUAGCUGUUGUAAGAAAGAUGCAUCAUUAAAACACUUGUAAGCC
Oncorhynchus keta (chum salmon) is the source of this 1310-nucleotide long non-coding RNA. RefSeq lists it as uncharacterized. NCBI's taxonomy places the organism in Eukaryota, Metazoa, Chordata, Actinopteri, Salmoniformes, Salmonidae. The record is from RefSeq and is a predicted model, not a curated record. The transcript has 3 exons.